GAGACAGCCAGCGAGAGAGGGAACACAAGCAGGGGGAGUGGGAGAGGAAGAAGCAGGCUCCUAGCGGAGGAGCCUGAUGUGGGGCUCGAUCCCAGAACGCUGGGAUCAUGCCCUGAGUCGAAGGCAGACGCUUAAUGACUGCGCCACCCAGGCGCCCCAAAAGAUUUUAUUUAUUUGACAGAGAGAGAGAUCACAAGCAGGGGGAGAGGGAGAGGGAGAAGCAGGCUCCCCACUGGGCAAGGGGCCAGAUGUGAGACUCGAUCCCAGGACCCUGGGAUCAUGACCUGAGCUGGAGGCAGACGCUUAACUGACUGAGCCAUCCAGGGGCCCCAAUAAACAAAACCUUUAAAAAAACAAAAAAUAAAUUUAAAAAAGAGGUAAUGGAAAGAGAAAGAGUAAAAGUAGGACUAAAUGAAUGUGAAUAAAAUAUGAAUUGUGUAAAAUACAAUAGGAGUGAUUCAAGUUAGAUAUAAAUAUGGUGUGUUUAUAUUUAUGUUGAUGAUCAAAUCCAGAUUUGACCAUGGAACUGCUACAGCCAUUUUAGCUCCAGAAUGAGGAUAAAACCAGUGCAAAGAGGAGGACAAAGCCAAGAGAAUGUCAGGGAAGUAGAGACACUGAGACUUCAUUGUCACACUAUGUCUGGAAUUUGCCCUAUCCCUGGACUUAUUUAUAUAAGAUAAUAAAAUUUCCUUUUUGCUUAAGGAUUUGAAUCAAGGUUUUCUGAUAUUUGCAGCUGAAAGUAUCCUGAUGGAGACAUGCAGUAAUUUUUCAGAAGAAGAUAGAGCCAGGCAUUUCUGCAGAGGCAACAACAUGAAAAAGGGUUCAGAGGAGAUUCGUGUGAUGCACCAACCUGCCAGACCUGACGUAGCUGUGGAGUUGAGUAACCCACAGUAUCAACCAUGCACUAUAGUAUUUCUCUGCUUUGCUGCCCCGGGGCUUUCUCCACACCACAGAGGCCUGCUUGACUAUGUGUAGCUGCAACCUGGAAGUAUGAGGGAGUUAAAGUCUCCAGGGGAAACCCUCAAAAAGUAGAGAGACAAGGAUCUUUAGGUAAAUGCUCCAGCCAACACAGUCUCCACUAGGAUAAUUCUGAGGUGUGGUUUUCAGAGGCUUCCCUAGGCAGAUUGGUCCCAGCUGCCCAUAGUAUUAACUGGUUAAUAUAUUGUUUUUUACCCCCUUUUCUAUCUCAUUUCCCCCUCCCUUCUUUCUGGUUCUUGAAAUCAUCUCUCAAAUGAAUGACCUGUGCCCAGUGCUUAUCUCAAGGUCUGACUUUAGAGAGAGCCCAAAUAAGACACUUAUCUAGUUUUUUAUUUUCUUAAAAAAAAUAAUAUACACACAUGUAUGUAUGUAUGUAUGCAUGUUUCCUUUAUAAGACUGAUACGUUUGGGACACCUGGGUAGCUCAGUCAGUUAAGUGUGCCUUUGGCUCAAGAUCCCAGGGUCCUGGGAUGUGUCUUGCUCCCUGCUCAGUAGGGAGUCUGCUUCUCCCUCUUUCUUCCUCCCCCCAACCCCCCACUUGCAUGUGCACCACUCUUUCUCUCUCAAAUUAAAAAAAAAAAAAAAAAGAGAGUGAUACAUGUUCAUUUUUGCAACUAUUGCAAAUUUUGAAAUAUGAAAGAAUUGGCCCAUUACCUAAAGACAACCGCUGUUAUCUUUCAGCAUAUGAUAAAUUAUUUCUUUUGUGUUUCCGGGUUUUUGUGUGUGUGUGUGCCUGUUUUUAACUGUUACUGUAGUCUAAACUACUAAAAUAAUUAUUCUACUUUUUAAAAUAUUCUAUUCAUUAGUUUGUAAUUUAAUCAUAGAAAUUCAGUUCUCAGUGAUGUCUAUGAAUAAGGGAAAAAUAGAUUUAAAAAAAAAUGUAUGUAGGGGUGCUGGGUGGCUCAGCUGUUCAGCGCCUGCCUUCAGCUCAGGUCAUGAUCCCUGAGUCUUGGGACUGAGCCCUGUGUCCUGCUCCCUGCUCAGCAGGAGUCUCCUUGUCCCUCUCCCUCCACCUGCUGCUCCCCGUGCUUGUGCUCUCUCUCUGUCAAAUAAAAUGUGAAAAAAAAAAUGUAUGUGAUAGUAG
Molecule: long non-coding RNA, 2061 nt
Organism: Ursus americanus (American black bear)
Lineage: Eukaryota; Metazoa; Chordata; Mammalia; Carnivora; Ursidae
Source: Ensembl